This 207-nucleotide ribosomal RNA is filed under the name uncultured bacterium. Its description in RNAcentral is "partial 16S ribosomal RNA". It matches the Rfam family "Bacterial small subunit ribosomal RNA", at positions 568 to 774 of the family's 1533-position model. The record is from RNAcentral.
CACGCAGGCUGAAUUAUAAGUCGGUAGUAAAAGGCGGGGGCUCAACUUCCGUAUAUCUAUCGAUACUGUAAAUCUAGAGUAUGUGAGAGGGAAGCGGAAUUCCCGGUGUAGCGGUGAAAUGCGUAGAUAUUGGGAGGAACACCAGUGGCGAAGGCGGCUUCCUGGCACAAUACUGACGCUCAUGUGCGAAAGCUAGGGCAGCGAACG